This is a small nuclear RNA of Phodopus roborovskii (desert hamster), 107 nucleotides long. The record is from RefSeq and is a predicted model, not a curated record. NCBI's taxonomy places the organism in Eukaryota, Metazoa, Chordata, Mammalia, Rodentia, Cricetidae.
GUGCUCACUUUGGAGGCACAUAUACUAAAAUUUGAAGGAUACAGAGAAUAUAUAGCAUGACUUCUGCUCAAGAAUGACACAGAAUCUGUGAAGUGUUCCAUAUUUUU